GUCGUUUACAUUUCUUUUGUUCUUUUUUUUUCCUUUGCUAACUAUUUCUUUUGUUCUUAGUCGUAGAAGUUUUAAGGGACAUAAUAAAUGUACUAAUCUUAAGACUUUAAGAGAAAACAAAAAGAACAAAACAAAAGAAAAAUAAUAUAGUUGGACUUGGAAGUAGGGGACCAUAGAAUGAUGUGGUCAAUUGUUAUAACACUCUUUAUGAGUCCAGGAAAAAACGUGCUUCCCCUAUAUCCAUAGAUGUGUAGGUUAUAUAUUACAGUAAAUAAUUACCCAUAUAUACUUUUGAUAUAUUUAAACGUAAUUUUCCGACUAUUAAGAUAUUUUUUUUUGUCAAAGCUGUUAGAGCAUGUUUAUUGAAGCAACCCCUAAAUAGAUUCUUAGUGAAUAUUUAAGUAUUAAAAUUAAGCUGAGAACUUUUGUUAAGAAACAACUAAUUUUAGUGCUACAAUGCUAGUUUUUUAAUUAAGGGUUCUUAAAAAAAAUUAUUAAACAUUGUUUACACCUAGUGUUGUUAGAUGUGAAUUAGCUCAAGAAGGUCAUAUGUUUUCUUCUUGUCUCAACACCUUGUUCUGUAAAUGUCCUAAGCACUUUUUUUCAAUUGUAGUGUACAAAGUAUCGAAAUUGAGGAGAUUUCAGAGAGUGGAAGUAUCUAUGUUCAGUCAGAUGGAGAACAUCUUGGAUUCCUACCUAGAAAGUUUCAGGUUUUACCAGGUGCCAUCGACAUGAUGAUCAGCUGAUUCAAAACCAGACAUACCAAGAAAAUGUAGAAGAAGAAGAGACAUCACAUUCAACUUUUGUUUGGUAUGUACUCUGUACUAUGUAGAGAUUCUUCUUUUCUUUUAUCUUAGAUUUGAUUCAUUGUUUUAAUACGAAUCAGAUAUGUGAUCGUGUUGUGUUCUGUUGGUACUUUUGUGUGGUCACCAUUAACCAAAACAACACACACAAAUAUACUUAUUAAAAUAAACUCGUCGUGUCCCAUAAUCAAUCACAUUUGAAGCCAAACAAUGGUAUCUUCACUUUCCUUUCAUUCCAUGCCAGCGUCAGCCCCAUCUACUCCGGAGAUGCUGUCCGUUCAACCUUCCGCCGUAAUCACCGCCAAUUUUUCUCAACUGGAGUGAGUUGCAGAGGACUCAGACAAGUAAAGGAUGUGAGCUGGAGAAUGUUCUACUCUAAAUCGCUUGGUACAGUUCAGAGCUGCUCGGAAUCGCUGCCUCCGCUUUCAGACCUCUGGCGCCUCUUCCUCCUUCUAAUACUACGACUGAUCAGGACUUUGAGAUUCCGGUUGAUUAUUCAGGACGAAAGCCACAGACGAGAUUCUUCAACGAGAAAGAUCGAGGAGAGCACCGAGUUCUUCGUCGACUUCAACUUUUCUUCUCCUCUCAAUAUCACAAAACCAAUACCCUAACUACACGUGUAUAACAAGAGUCGCUUCUUCCACGCCUUAGACACCUCGAUAAACAUGCUCUUAAGAUACUAUAGAAUUCAGAUCUUCCACACAAAAGAUACCAGAAGAAAUAGAUAUAAUAAUCUAUGUAUUGUUUACCGAUACGAUAUUGAAUGAUUGUUCCCUUCUUUAGUGCCUUAUAUUUUAGGGAUAUUUUCAAAACUGUGAGUUACUUUUGAGUUCCAAAAGCAUAGAUCAUUAUGUUCUUUUGCUUUCUUUCUUUCUUUUCAAAUGGUGUUUGUUUGUGCUCGAUCGACCAUGCCUUACUAUGCUAACAUCAAUGAGCUACCUGCCACAAACAACAAAGAUCAAUAUUCAAUAAGUCUUAGAUGAAUUUCUAUGCAAAAAAUAUGUAUCAACAACUAUUUAGUGAUUAGAUUAUUUUCUUUGUCAAACCAAAUGAAAUAUCUUUCUAUUGAUCUGUCAAGUCCGUAUUAUGUGUAUGUUAAACUUUUUGUUAGCCUUUUGUUAAAUGUGUGAGUGACUCGAGUGAUGGAGAUGAUAGUGACUCCGAUGACAAGAACAAAAAGAAAAGUGGCUGAGAAAAUCCGAAGGUGAAUGUUGUCGAGGUUAAGAGUUCAUUAUGCAUUUUUCUUUUCUUUUCUUUGUGUGUUUUUUGCUUUUUCAAAUUCCCUAAAGCUUCCUUAGAAGCUACAAAUGCUUGAUUUGGUGUGGUUUAAUAGAAGUUUUUUUAAUUCCCUAAAGCUUUUUAAAAGCUAAUGAUGUAGUGAAUCUUAGUCCUCGACAAAUUAAUAUUAAAAUGUUUUGUGGGGUUUCCUUAGAAGUUACACGCGUAAAUUACAUGCAUGCAUAAUAUUGAUAACAUUAAAAGUAACAUAAUGUAUUAUAAAACUAUUAAAUGACUAGUUUGCAUGAAAAACAAUAUAUAAAAUACAAAUAUUUAUAGGCUAAAAUUUCAUAUAAAUGGCAUAAAACAUAUCACAUAUACAUAAUAAAGUAAAAUUAGUAUAAUAAUAAACAAGCUAUGAGAAAUCUAGCUAAUUUAAUCAAGUUAUUUGAUUAAACCAAUUAGUAAUGCAAUUUAAUAGUUAAAAGAAGUGUGUUGACCAAAAAAAAAUAAUUAAAAUUGAAAGUGUCAAUGGAAAUUUGGUGAAUGGCAAAAAAUGAAAUAAAAGAGAUUAUGUGUAACCGUUGUACAGUUCUUUUUUCUUUCUUUUAUAUGUUCUUCUUUUAAAUUCCUUAAAGCUUCCUUAGAAGCUACCGUGUUUUGGUGUUCAUUAGUGCAAGUUUCUGAUGUUGUUGUUUUUAGUUUAAAUUCCAUAAAGCUUCCUUAGAAGCUACUGUGUUUUGGUGUUAAUUACUGCAAUUUUUAUGUUGUUGGUUAUGGUUAAAAUUUCCUAAAGCUUCUUUAGAAGCUACUGAUACAAUGAAUGAAUCUUUAAUCCAUGACAAAUUUAAUAUUAAAAUGUUCUCUGAAAUAUGAAUUUCUUAUCAUGGUGAUGCAAAGAUUACAAACAUUAGGUAAUACUACAAAAGUAAGAAGAGUUAGUUUAACUUAUAAUUAUUGAUGAACUUUUAGUCCUCAACAAUUUUCGUUUUGAAAUGAAGUGUAAAUAAGAAUUCUUAUCAACAUACUAUGAUGGAAAAGUUACAAAUGUUAAGUACCAUUACAAAAGAGAUUUAGCCCAACCUACAAAAGAGACUAUUUAUAAUUUCAUUUCUUUUCAAUUUCGUUCUUAUCUUCUCUUCCAUAAAUCAAAAGUUUCUAAAGAUUGUUGGCUCCUGAGUAGCUUACAUAACCUGGAAUCAUUUACAUGGUGAUGAUGACGGAAAAAUGGGAGGAGAUUGUUGCUACUUUGCUUGCUUUAGUAACGUUUAUGUUAUAAAAUUCCAGUGUGUUUGGUUUGUAUAUAUAGACACUAGUUUUUCUCUCAGUCCAUGUAAUAGUUGUUAUUAUCUAUCCACACUAAAACAAUGUCAUCGCAUUUACAUUGAGUUGGCACAUGACUAAGGUUUUAAACAGAAAAAUUAUUAGAUGGUUUUCAUAAGACUGGUAUAGUGACACCAAGUACAUAUAUUUAUGAUCGAUCAUACAUGUAAUCGCAAUUCAAUAAAUCUCAAACAACGAAGGGUGGGGAAGAUAUUUUUGUGCUCUUGAACCCAUCAUGUAACUUUUGGAAGAAAGAUAUACAUAUCAUCACUUUGUGUUCGAGCAUUUGCUACUGGAAAAAGACUGAAAAUUGCAUUCUUGCGGAGAUUUAGUAAGAAACUUUAACUCACCAUUAACAACCUGAUUAAUUAACCAUAUUUCAUAAUCAAUUAUUUUCAGUACAACCAACAUAAAUAUUUUUUGUUAAAAUAAAAAAGUGCAAAUCAACAAAAGAAGCAAUAAUAAGAACAAAAAGCAAAAUCCAACUAUUUCAAUUUUGGAUAACCAAAAAAAACGUAAACUCUCUCUCAAAAAAGGCGAUGCAGACGGUGAUUUAGGGUUUUCGAUGGUUUCUCGUCAAUGGGAUCCGGGCAUUAUCAUAGGGAUUUCGAUCGCUGCAGACAGUUAUCAUGGUGAUUCGAAAUAUGGCUCUCUUUCGAGGUUUUUGGGGUUCGAUCUAGGCAUCAACAGAGGGAUCUUUGGAGGAAUAAGGAAAGUUACGAUUAGGCUCUACUAGAAUUCGAUUUCGAAUGUAAUCAAUGUCGAAUCACGAAUAUACGAAGAGCCAGUUGUUAAGCCAUGGAGAGGAAACGAAGAGCGGUGAGAGUUCCCGGAAGAGACUGAAGAUCUCGGUGGCGCAUUUCGACAAUUCCGCGCUAAUCAAAACCUAUUCCAAAACUCUGAUUGGGAGGUGUAUGAACCCGGAGGAGCAAGACAUGAAGGCGUUGUUCUUAAACCUUCCAAAGAUCUGGAAGCUGGAGGAACGGGUUACUAGUACUGACUUGGGAUUUGGUAAAUUCCAAUUUGAUUUCAAAACGGAGGAAGACAUUGACGGGUUGUUGAAGCUGCAGCCUUUCCACUUCGACUAUUGGAUGCUCUCCUUGGCACGGUGGCAACCAAAGCAGUCGAAGCUCUUUCCUUCUGAUAUAACGUUUUGGAUUCGUAUCAUCGGAAUUCCGCUGGAGUUCAGGACGGUUCCCACUUUUGAAAGUAUUGGGAACGCUACUGGAAGAACAGUGGCAGUGGAUUUGGUUCAUAUGUGAAUCCAGGUUGUGAUUGAUGCGUUCCAAGAGCUAUGCUUCGAAACUACUGUGGAUUUCAAAGGAGGGGAGUUUUAUGAUGGUGAGGAGGUGGCGAUUUCUUUGCGAUAUGAAAAACUCUUUGGUUAUUGCCAGCUUUGUUCUAGCCUUUGUCAUAAGGAAGAGAAGUGUCCGCUAGAGAAGAAGAAUACAAAGGCUAGUCUGGAGAGAAGGCGGGAGAUCAGAGAAGGCAAUGGGGGAUGGUCAGAUGGGGUAAGACACGACGACAGAGCUAGGAGUUACAAAGGCGUGGUCAUCAAUGGUAAUGCGAGUCAACAGAACAAAGAACGAGAUGGGCGGGACUGUUAUGGGAAGGGCAAAGGGAAGAUGAGUGAAGCACAAGACUCUAAAUGGGUAAAGGAGAAAGGACACAGAAGAUAUCCUAAUUAUGGAUUCUUCAAAACAUUUUGAUGGAUUCUUCAAACAUCUCUAUCGUUCCUGUGUUAUGAAAUGUUGCCCCUUAAGGCAGAAGAAAAUAGCUGUGCAAGAACUCAAAAUGUAAAACAAAAUAUAAAAAAAAAUCAUGAGAAAAGCCAAUGGCGGCUUUGUUUCUUCUCA
This is a long non-coding RNA of Brassica napus (rape), 5200 nucleotides long. RefSeq lists it as uncharacterized. NCBI's taxonomy places the organism in Eukaryota, Viridiplantae, Streptophyta, Magnoliopsida, Brassicales, Brassicaceae. The record is from RefSeq and is a predicted model, not a curated record. The transcript has 2 exons.